GGGGAACCCUGAUCCAGCCAUGCCGCGUGUGUGAAGAAGGCCUUUUGGUUGUAAAGCACUUUAGGCGAGGAGGAGGCUACUGGUAUUAAUACUACCGGAUAGUGGACGUUACUCGCAGAAUAAGCAUCGGCUAACUCUGUGCCAGCAGCCGCGGUAAUACAGAGGGUGCGAGCGUUAAUCGGAUUUACUGGGCGUAAAGCGUGCGUAGGCGGCUUUUUAAGUCGGAUGUGAAAUCCCUGAGCUUAACUUAGGAAUUGCAUUCGAUACUGGGAGGCUAGAGUAUGGGAGAGGAUGGUAGAAUUCCAGGUGUAGCGGUGAAAUGCGUAGAGAUCUGGAGGAAUACCGAUGGCGAAGGCAGCCAUCUGGCCUAAUACUGACGCUGAGGUACGAAAGCAUGGGGAGCAAACAGGAUUAGAUACCCUGGUAGUCCAUGCCGUAAACGAUGUCUACUAGCCGUUGGGGCCUUUGAGGCUUUAGUGGCGCAGCUAACGCGAUAAGUAGACCGCCUGGGGAGU
RNAcentral lists this ribosomal RNA (515 nucleotides) under uncultured bacterium. RNAcentral describes it as "bacterial SSU rRNA". It matches the Rfam family "Bacterial small subunit ribosomal RNA", at positions 375 to 881 of the family's 1533-position model. The record is from RNAcentral.